ACUCUUGCUCUCGACAAAACUGGGUGCCCAGCAGUGGUGCAGAUGGAGAAAAGGAUCCCACAGACUGGUCACCAUGGGGUGAAUGCAGAC
Alligator sinensis (Chinese alligator) is the source of this 90-nucleotide long non-coding RNA. RefSeq lists it as uncharacterized. The record is from RefSeq and is a predicted model, not a curated record. NCBI's taxonomy places the organism in Eukaryota, Metazoa, Chordata, Crocodylia, Alligatoridae. The transcript has 3 exons.